This is a long non-coding RNA of Bombus terrestris (buff-tailed bumblebee), 665 nucleotides long. RefSeq lists it as uncharacterized. Lineage: Eukaryota; Metazoa; Arthropoda; Insecta; Hymenoptera; Apidae. The transcript has 2 exons. The record is from RefSeq and is a predicted model, not a curated record.
ACAAUGUCGCCGCUACAAGCAACCGUCGAAUGAAGACGAAUUCGAAUUUUCCGAUUUUCCCCCGACCAGUAUAAAUACACGGAAGCGAUCGCGAGCAAUAGCACAUAUCGAGUAUCUAACAGUAUCUAGAGUAUCUCCGAGUAUCUUACGAGCGUCUAUCGAGUUACGCGACGAGCAUUUACAAAUAUAUUCGACGGUUACAACAACGAGUAAUCUCGUCAUUAAUCUUUACGUACCAACGUCCUCUUCACAUAAACAUCUACAGAUAUAACACUAUGGCGGAUCUUUCCAACGGCUUCGCGAUACAAAGCGCUAUACCUUGAAAGCGUAAGCCCGACAUGCCCAAUGUACAAUCGAUAUCCCUACGGUUCUUUUGCCGAAUUUUCGGAAGAACGCAUAUGCGGCAACCGUAGCGGACAUCUAAUAAACGCGUACGUAGUGGGGAUAUCGAUGGGCAACAAAGAAAGAGUCCGUUUGGUUUCGAACCAAAGAUUCAUUUUGUCUCGAGCUGCGGAGUGCGAAAGGUUAAGCGUCAUAGCAAACAAAUACAAUUAGAGAUACGUGAUUAUUGACCUUCAUAGUUAAUCGUUAAUCGUUAAUUGUCGGCCGUAAAUCGUUGACUGUUAAUUGUUAAUAGUUUAAUAAACUUUAUUGUUGAACAUCAA